RNAcentral lists this unclassified non-coding RNA (240 nucleotides) under soil metagenome. RNAcentral describes it as "partial contains 5.8S ribosomal RNA, internal transcribed spacer 2, and large subunit ribosomal RNA". The record is from RNAcentral.
AACGCACGAGACCUGCGGACCUGCGGAGGGAUCAUUACCGAGUGUUACAGCUCCCAAACCCACUGUGAACGUACCCAUCGUUGCUUCGGCGGGACCGCCCCGGCGCCUCCGCGCGCCGGGCACGGGCGCCCGCCGGGGGCCCGAAACUCUUGCCUCCUCGCGUGGAUUCUCUGAGUGGCACGAAAAGGGAAAAUGAAUCAAAACUUUUAGCAACGGAUCUCUAGAUCGGAAGAGCACACG